This 672-nucleotide long non-coding RNA is filed under the name Bemisia tabaci. Its description in RNAcentral is "lncRNA ENSSSA1NGG004490". Lineage: Eukaryota; Metazoa; Arthropoda; Insecta; Hemiptera; Aleyrodidae. The record is from RNAcentral.
GUGUAGCUCAUUAGUGUGGCAGUGAAGUGGACAAGAGGACGACAUCAAUAAUUGAAAAUGGCUUACAAAUCCGUCCUCAGCAUCUUGGUGAUUUCAGUGGCCAGCUUAGUUGGAGCUGAUGAGCCGAAUUUCGUACCUGGCGCCUUCCCAGCCCAGACGAGCGCAGCUGCAGCGGCAGCCACAGCAUAUUCACAGCCGCAACCAGUGCCUGCUCCGUUAUACCCUUCAAAUGAGGGUAACUCUAUUGAAAGUGACAACUCUCUCCAAUCUUACGAAGAACCAUCUGGCUUCGGAGUCCAGACUGGUUAUGAAGGCUACCUUGUCCCGGAGGAAGAGCCCACCGCACUUAGCAUCAUUUCCACCCUCUUCCCUCAGCUGUCCGGAAUCAUCAACUACAUUAGUGGAUUGUGGUCACGUAGCUCCAAUGUCGUCUCCGGGGCUGCUGGUGUUGUCGCCUUGGGUGGAGUCCUCACCACUCUCACUUGCGCUUUCACGCCUCUUUGUACGCUCACAUUCGUUGGUCUUGCCAGGGAAAAUGUCCGCGAUAGCAUGAGGUCUUACUUGACUGAAGAAAACAUAGACACUGCUGCCAACUUCAUCCGUGAAGCUUACGAGAAGUACAAGAAGUUGAACAACCGAGUUCGCAGAAGGAGCGCAAAUAAGAAGAAGUAA